CUGAGAGUGUCCGAGAGGCCUCUCAGUCUCUAAUUAUAGCUAUAUGCUGUAGUUAGAGAUUAAUGCCACGAUUUAUUUAUCCGAAUUAAUAGUAGGAAAAAUUACUCUGAAUUAACAGAGUACUCAAGAGCCUUGAGCCAGAGUGGAAAAUUCUGAGCCACUGAUCA
RNAcentral lists this non-coding RNA (167 nucleotides) under unclassified sequences. RNAcentral's name for it is "RAGATH-22 RNA". It matches the Rfam family "RAGATH-22 RNA". From Rfam's summary of the family: Veillonella (Firmicutes). The record is from Rfam by way of RNAcentral.